This is a long non-coding RNA of Myzus persicae (green peach aphid), 2328 nucleotides long. RefSeq lists it as uncharacterized. The transcript is spliced from 7 exons. The record is from RefSeq and is a predicted model, not a curated record. Lineage: Eukaryota; Metazoa; Arthropoda; Insecta; Hemiptera; Aphididae.
AUUUUGUGAGUAGGCGACAACUGUUAUUAUGGAAUUCGAUUUCUGACAAAAUUAUUACGAUAAGAUAUUACAACUAAGUAGAUAAUAUAUAAUAUUAUGUAUAUAUAAUAAUACUGCCAGGCCGUACCGUACACAGUUAGACAUAGCGUUUAUGUAAGACGUAUGUAUAGAUUUAUGAAUUUCUAUUAAUGCGUUUACAGUUGAGUACUAAAAAAUAUUUUCUUUUCAUUUCAUAACAUUUUAAAAUAAUAUUCGUGUGUAUAUCAUAGUCAAAUCUACACAAACAUGAGUCUUAUAACAUAACAACUAGUUUACACAAGACUCACACUUCUUAACUUCGCGACGAUCAAUUCGAUUUCCACGACGCUGGGAGCCAUAUGUCGUGACAACGAUGAUCAUGUCACGAUUUAGGACUAUAUCUUUCCAGCCACCUGUACAUGCAAAACGGAACAUACAUACUCAGUAACUUAACGUAUUGCAAAACGUAAAAACACUGAAAACAAUAAUUAUUUAUACUGUAUAAAUAAGUAAUACACGCCGUGAAAAAUUCAUCAAGACCUCUUCAAUACGAAGUUGCUAUUCUCGGUUAUUAGUUUUAUUAACGUAUGUAUGACUGUCUAUAACUCUAGAUGUCUUGUCCAACAAAUCAACCCACUGUAUGAUUGGUAAAAAGAAGCUUCAUACGAUAUAGUGACAUAUUAUGAGUGUGGAACUUACACGUAAUGAUAGGCGUGCAUGUAUAUUUCACACCAACGAUAAUUAACUAGUUAUUAAGCAAACAAUCACACAACUCGUACAGUCGUACUAGCAGUGUAUGGUGUAUCUACUACUCUUCGUAUUGUCGUAUAGACUAUAGAGAUCCCUUUAAAAGCAAGUCGUUUGCAGUCAAUAAUAUUUGCCGAAAAUACGAUAGACAACAAAAAAAUAGAUAUUUAAAUUCAUAGUGAAGGCUAAGGGGACGCUGCUUAGUAAUGUGGAUAAAUACGUCCACCGAAGACCGAACUGUGUUCAGACAAAAAAAAAAUGUAUACGGACUGUACGGCAAAGCCACACAGUUAAGACUGAGCAAACUCUUCCUUGGACUUCAAGUGACAGUCACCAGUAAACAUUUGUAUACAAGCGAAUACUGCUGUAAAUUCGAGGAUGUCGAAAUUGAAUGAAGCUCACGCUUGAAAUGUUAAUAAGACUUACCAUUAACACAAAAUAUAGAAGCAAUAGGCAAAUAAAAAAAAGAUCAAUCUCUAUUGGGGUCAAGGGUGAUACUCCUGCUUGGAAAGAAUCUCUAUGACUAUGAAUACAUUUUGCGAUCACGAGGGGACAUCUGAAUUGCCCUAAAAGAAGAAUUGACCUAAUUGAACUGUUUUGACUUCUCUGCAAAUUGAAACAUUUGGAGUUGGAACAUACAAUCUAUAGUAUCUAGUGAACACAAACAAUAAGCUAAGGGCGGCUACACUCUGCCAACAUUGCCUAGAACCGCCACUGCGUGUAUUGCAAGCAAUACUUUUAAUGUAAUUUCAAAUACAAACAAUAUAGGAAAAUAGUAUCAAAUGAAAUAGAAUUUUUUGUCUUGAAUUGUGCAUUUUUUGUAAUUAAUUUUAUGUUAAUAUUAUUUUAAUCUUGUAUAGUUUUAUAUCUGUAAUAAUAUAAAUUUAUUUAACAUCAAAAAUAAUGUUAAAAAUGGGUUUAUUUACAAAACACAAAAGUCAACACAGUAGAAAGUUUAGAAAGACUUGAUUAAUGCUUUAAUAGAAAUUAAGUUAAAUAUAUGUUAAGUGUCAUGAAAACAAUAUUGACAAUAUUAUAUAAAUGUAUUUUUAAGGUUAGAUAUAUAGUUAUUAAUAACUACAAACUACACCCGAGGAUCUAAUAUAUCUUAAUUAACAGUGCAUAUGUAGCAGGAAACCAUUGAGUUAUGUUGGUUAUCCAAAAGAGUAAAUGAGUAUAGUGUGAUAAGCUAGAACUUAGGAAUGUUUGGGUCAAAUAGUUAAAGCAUAGUCUAACCUAUCAAAUACAGAUAAGGAAAAGUAGACUAUUUAAUUGUAAUGAAUUGUUUGCAUUAAUUGUAUAUUCAUAACAAUUAUCUAGUGGCUGAAAGUAUGACCAUAAUAUUAGCAGUAAUGUUUGCAUAAUUUUAUAGUCAUUCAUUUCUCUCUUGACGGAAAGGAAGAUCAGUAAAAAAGUUAUACAUUUACAAUUUGGAGUAAAGAAAUAUAUUAAAAAAAGCUUAUUACAUCUUAUUCCACGACUUACAAAGUCUAAUCUUAAUAUUUAGUUAAAGCUAUUCUUUAGUUUAAGGAAACUCAAUUUUUAAGUAUAAAUUAUUAUAUA